Molecule: long non-coding RNA, 1127 nt
Organism: Cavia porcellus (domestic guinea pig)
Lineage: Eukaryota; Metazoa; Chordata; Mammalia; Rodentia; Caviidae
Exons: 3
Source: RefSeq, a predicted model, not a curated record
UAUUAAAAGCAAUAGUUACGCAUGGGGAUCCCAGGAUUGCCGUUAUAUAUGAGAAGUGAAGUUUUGUACUCAUCUUUCUAACAGCUGAGAUAAUAUUUUCAUCUAAUAAUAGGACAGAAAGAGCCGUAACUGGUUUAAUAAGAAGUGAUCCAAGUUCACUUGGGGCUGAUCUCACAAUUGAGUGACCAUGUAAUGGGGUACUCCUUGAAAGCUGGAAUGGUUAAGAAUUGUAGUUGGAUCCUGUCACCAGGUGGAGAAUUCAGCAAGUUUCCUGCCUAACUGCUUUGCAUGGUACCGAAACUGUUAAUUCCCUGAAACUGUUAAUUCCUCAGGUAUUGAUAUUUGGCAGAAGACAAGUAGUGUUGAAUACGAGUAAAGCAAAGGUAAAGAGAUUUUAAUACUGAAGAAAUAAUGCAGUUUUAUAAUUUCUCAAACAGAUGAUUAUCAAAUCUGUUGAGACAUAGAAGUCAUGGAAAAUGAUUCUUUGGAAGAUAGGGUGAGAAUUUCUGCCUAGGGAUGAUAAUUUAACUCAUUAAUUUAAUCCAAAUCCUUCAAUCAUUUUUGACUGUGCAUUAUGGUUGGAGCUACUGAGAAAAAAGAUACAGCCCCUGCCUGAAGGUGCAUUUGAUUGAAGCGGGAGGUGUUACAUAACUCUGAGUACCAUGAUAAAGGCUGUGAUGGAAAGACCCUUGGAACCAGUGACUGGAGCGAGUUGUGACCCUGGGGUUUCUGUAGCCACUGUGGGCAGAGAGCAUGCACUGCAGAGGGUAUGGCAGGGCAGCACGUGUGGAAGCACUGGGAGUGAGAAGGAAGAGACUGCUGUGUGUUGUUAUCUAUAUCAGGUUAACAGUCAGGGUCCUUCACAAGCUGUUCAGUUCAGCUGAGAAGCAGGCAGUUGUGUGGGUUUUAAAUUGUUUCUGCUUCUCCACAGGAAGGCCUCACACCACUUAUGCUUGCUCUAAGGGAAAACAGAAUGGAAGCGGCAGCAUUGUUAAAAAAGACAGAAAGAAAGAAUGUGGUGAAUGAGCUGGAAAGAAAAAAUUCUCAAUGUGAAGAAAAGGAAUCUUCAAAUUCUGACAAUAGCCCUCCAGUGGUUGCAAGUGAAUCUGAGACCUCUUUAACACGAG